Molecule: non-coding RNA, 27 nt
Filed under: Mus musculus (house mouse)
Lineage: Eukaryota; Metazoa; Chordata; Mammalia; Rodentia; Muridae
Source: RNAcentral
UGCCUUGCUGUGUUUCCCGGUCCCUCC